RNAcentral lists this ribosomal RNA (497 nucleotides) under uncultured bacterium. RNAcentral describes it as "partial 16S ribosomal RNA". It matches the Rfam family "Bacterial small subunit ribosomal RNA", at positions 28 to 507 of the family's 1533-position model. The record is from RNAcentral.
GAUGAACGCUGGCGGCGUGCCUAAUACAUGCAAGUCGAGCGAACAGACGAGGAGCUUGCUCCUCUGACGUUAGCGGCGGACGGGUGAGUAACACGUGGAUAACCUACCUAUAAGACUGGGAUAACUUCGGGAAACCGGAGCUAAUACCGGAUAACAUGUUGAACCGCAUGGUUCAACAGUGAAAGUCGGUUUUGCUGUCACUUAUAGAUGGAUCCGCGCCGCAUUAGCUAGUUGGUAAGGUAACGGCUUACCAAGGCAACGAUGCGUAGCCGACCUGAGAGGGUGAUCGGCCACACUGGAACUGAGACACGGUCCAGACUCCUACGGGAGGCAGCAGUAGGGAAUCUUCCGCAAUGGGCGAAAGCCUGACGGAGCAACGCCGCGUGAGUGAAGAAGGUCUUCGGAUCGUAAAACUCUGUUAUUAGGGAAGAACAAAUGUGUAAGUAACUAUGCACGUCUUGACGGUACCUAAUCAGAAAGCCACGGCUAACUACGUG